RNAcentral lists this long non-coding RNA (363 nucleotides) under Mytilus galloprovincialis (Mediterranean mussel). Lineage: Eukaryota; Metazoa; Mollusca; Bivalvia; Mytilida; Mytilidae. The record is from RNAcentral.
AAUGAAAUUAAAUGGAAGUUCCUGGGGGUCACCCCCACCCCGUUCAAUUUGAGAAUGUACUAUUAUCUUGUAAAUGGUCCAGAUCCCCACCCCUAAACCAUAUAUAUUCUUGUAGGGGACAAUAAAACAAAUGAAAUGAAAUAAAAGGAAAGUCCCUAGGGGGUCACCCCACCCCCUCUUGUUUGAAAACUUGUAAACGGUCAACAUCCCCACCCCUAAACUAUAUAUAUUCUUGUAAGGGACAAAAAAAAACUAAUCAAAUGAAAUUAAAUGGAAGUUCCUUGGGGUCACCCCACCCCGUUCAAUUUGAGAAUGUACUAUUAUCUUGUAAAUGGUCCAGAUCCCCACCCCUAAACCAUAUAU